GGGCGUUUAGUAUUUGGUCGUAGACCCGAAACCAGGUGAUCUACCCUUGGUCAGGUUGAAGUUCAGGUAACACUGAAUGGAGGACCGAACCGACUUACGUUGAAAAGUGAGCGGAUGAACUGAGGGUAGCGGAGAAAUUCCAAUCGAACCUGGAGAUAGCUGGUUCUCUCCGAAAUAGCUUUAGGGCUAGCCUCAAGUGAUGAUUAUUGGAGGUAGAGCACUGUUUGGACGAGGGGCCCCUCUCGGGUUACCGAAUUCAGACAAACUCCGAAUGCCAAUUAAUUUAACUUGGGAGUCAGAACAUGGGUGAUAAGGUCCGUGUUCGAAAGGGAAACAGCCCAGACCACCAGCUAAGGUCCCAAAAUAUAUGUUAAGUGGAAAAGGAUGUGGCGUUGCCCAGACAACUAGGAUGUUGGCUUAGAAGCAGCCAUCAUUUAAAGAGUGCGUAAUAGCUCACUAGUCGAGUGACACUGCGCCGA
Molecule: ribosomal RNA, 479 nt
Filed under: Staphylococcus aureus
Lineage: Bacteria; Bacillati; Bacillota; Bacilli; Caryophanales; Staphylococcaceae
Description: partial 23S ribosomal RNA
Rfam family: Bacterial large subunit ribosomal RNA
Source: RNAcentral